AAGCGGUGGAGGAUGUGGCUUAAUUCGAGGCUACGCGAAGAACCUUAUCCUAGUCUUGACAUGCAUUUCUAAGUCGGUGAAAGCCGGCGACCGUAGCAAUACGGAACUUGCACAGGUGCUGCAUGGCUGUCGUCAGCUCGUGUCGUGAGAUGUCGCGUUAAGUCGCUUAACGAGCGAAACCCUUGUCCUUAGUUACCAGCGGGUCAUGCCGGGGACUCUAAGGAGACUGCCGGUGUUAAACCGGAGGAAGGUGGGGAUG
This 259-nucleotide ribosomal RNA is filed under the name uncultured Planctomycetota bacterium. Its description in RNAcentral is "uncultured planctomycete partial 16S ribosomal RNA". It matches the Rfam family "Bacterial small subunit ribosomal RNA", at positions 927 to 1181 of the family's 1533-position model. Lineage: Bacteria; Pseudomonadati; Planctomycetota. The record is from RNAcentral.